Molecule: long non-coding RNA, 216 nt
Filed under: Elaeis guineensis (African oil palm)
Lineage: Eukaryota; Viridiplantae; Streptophyta; Magnoliopsida; Arecales; Arecaceae
Description: long non-coding RNA (EGUI_LNC001822)
Source: RNAcentral
GGUACAGCGGGACCAGCACCGACGAGAUGAUCUCAUCCUCUUGGAGAAAGUUGAAAGUUGCUCCUUUCCAGUUUUGGUCUCCUAAUGAUUUUUGAGGAAAUUUUUUAUUGAUGAACAGUCCCAAGUCCAUGAUCCCAUCCAAGCUUGCGAUAACAAUGCCUUUGGAAUUGUUGAUGAGAAAACAGACGUUUGUGUAGUCCGAGAGGAGAUGCCCAA